RNAcentral lists this ribosomal RNA (550 nucleotides) under uncultured Diversisporaceae. Its description in RNAcentral is "SSU rRNA". It matches the Rfam family "Eukaryotic small subunit ribosomal RNA", at positions 548 to 1098 of the family's 1831-position model. Lineage: Eukaryota; Fungi; Glomeromycota; Glomeromycetes; Diversisporales. The record is from RNAcentral.
UUGGAGGGCAAGUCUGGUGUAGCAGCCGCGGUAAUUCCAGCUCCAAUAGCGUAUAUUAAAGUUGUUGCAGUUAAAAAGCUCGUAGUUGAACCUCGGGGUCUACCCAUUGGUCAGGCUUAAUUGUCUGUACUGGUGAGAUGGAUCUCUACCUUCUGAGGAACUUUCAUGCCAUUUAUUUGGUGUGAUGGGAAAUCAGGACUGUUACUUUGAAAAAAUUAGAGUGUUUAAAGCAGACUAUCGUCUGAAUACAUUAGCAUGGAAUAAUGAAAUAGGACGGACUGAUUCUAUUUCGUUGGUUUCUAGGAUCACCGUAAUGAUUAAUAGGGAUAGUUGGGGGCAUUAGUAUUCAAUUGUCAGAGGUGAAAUUCUUGGAUUUAUUGAAGACUAACUACUGCGAAAGCAUUUGCCAAGGAUGUUUUCAUUAAUCAAGAACGAAAGUUAGGGGAUCGAAGACGAUCAGAUACCGUCGUAGUCUUAACCAUAAACUAUGCCGACUAGGGAUCGGAUGAUGUUAAUUUUUUAAUGACUCAUUCGGCGCCUUACGGGAAAC